RNAcentral lists this ribosomal RNA (397 nucleotides) under uncultured bacterium. RNAcentral's name for it is "partial 16S ribosomal RNA". It matches the Rfam family "Bacterial small subunit ribosomal RNA", at positions 523 to 918 of the family's 1533-position model. The record is from RNAcentral.
AUACGUAGGGAGCGAGCGUUGUCCGGAAUGACUGGGCGUAAAGGGCGUGUAGGCGGCUGUCUAAGUCUGGAGUGAAAGUCCUGCUUUCAAGGUGAGAAUUGCUUUGGAGACUGGAUGGCUUGAGUGCGGAAGAGGUAAGUGGAAUUCCCAGUGUAGCGGUGAAAUGCGUAGAGAUUGGGAGGAACACCAGUGGCGAAGGCGACUUACUGGGCCGUAACUGACGCUGAGGCGCGAAAGCGUGGGGAGCGAACAGGAUUAGAUACCCUGGUAGUCCACGCGGUAAACGAUGAAUGCCAGGUGUUGCGGGUAUCGACCCCUGCAGUGCCGGAGUAAACACAAUAAGCAUUCCGCCUGGGGAGUACGGCCGCAAGGUUGAAACUCAAAUGAAUUGACGGGG